Lemur catta (Ring-tailed lemur) is the source of this 1596-nucleotide long non-coding RNA. RefSeq lists it as uncharacterized. The transcript has 3 exons. The record is from RefSeq and is a predicted model, not a curated record. Lineage: Eukaryota; Metazoa; Chordata; Mammalia; Primates; Lemuridae.
CUCAUAGGAAUAAGCCAGGCAAAAAAGUAGGGAUGCAUGUUCCCCAUAGAGGACAUAGCACAUGUGAAGGCCGUUUGUUCAACAAUUAUCUGCCGAGAAUUUACUAAGGGCCUGGGUCCUGCACACAGCAGAGAAAACAGCCAAUAAAAAUCCCAGCUGUUGUGAAGGUCACAUUCUAGAAGCCCGAAGGAGCCAAGCAGGAGAAUCUGAAGGAAGAAGAAAGCAUGGCAGUCAUCUUCCAGGAAAUGAAAUCGACGAUCUCGUCCACUCCCAUGGCUCUCAACGCCACCUAUCUUAUGACAACUCCCACGUUUACAUCUCCAUUUCCGAUCUGUCUUCUGAGCCCAGACCCAUGUGUCCAACCACCUACUUGGCAUUGCCAUCUGGCUGUUGGCCUUGCGUCGCAGACUCGGCAUGUGUAAAACGAAUUCAUCAGCUGCCUCCUCCAGGGCUCCCUAUCCAGAGGGUGACACCACCUGCCACCCAGCCACUCAAGGAAGACAUUGGGAUGUGUCAUCAUCCACACCUCCUCUCCCUGUCACCUCCCCUGCACUCCACCCCACUAUGUGACUGGAGAAGCAUCAGGGCCUGCCAAUCCAACACCUCCUGAAGAGCUGUCACUUCUGCCUGCUGUUCUGCAUUUUCGCCACCAGUGCCCUGCUCCAAGACAGCCUGGUCUCCUGCCUGGACUCCUACUAAACCCUCUAACUGGUUCCCCCACAGCGACGUUUAGGGGGGAAGGUUAACACUGUACUUGCUCUAUUCAGUCUCUGCAACAACAAAUUCAACAGACUGCUGGAGAAUGUCGCCAGGAUGCUCUGGUUCUCAGCCCUUGAUUUGGAAAGCUGGGUGUACGUGUCCCAACCCCGCAAGCCUGAUGUGUCCUUUUGCUAGAAUAAUUCCCUACGUGGCCUCUCCAAGCCAGAGGCAGGCCCUGCAAGAAGUCUUCCUAGGAAUGACUGUCUCAAUAUCUAAAAUCUACUUUUCUUGUAUCAUCCCAAUGAGUGUGGAGUGAGAGUGACGCCGGCAUCCGGACUCCAUGAGGCUGAGCAUGCCAACUGCAGAUUCCAGCUCAGAUGUCCCUCCCACAGGAAAACCUUCCGUAGCCCCUGAGACCAGACCAGCACCAACUCUGCACUGCACAGCGCUGUGCUUCUCUGCACUGCUGAUCGCAGCAGCCGUCCUUUGAUGCACGAUUUGCGCGACAUUUUCUCUACUAGCAUGUAAGCUCCAUGAAGUUAGGGACGGAGUCUUCUCCUUUAGUGAUGUCUUUCCAGCACCUAGUGGAACGCCUGGCAUUUAGCAAGUGUCCAACAAGUAUUUCUUAAAUGGAUAAAAUAUGUUCUAAAUCUAGAUCUUUCUGAUAUAGUAGAACAAAUUAGUAAUUUUUGUUGGUGUCAUGCUAGUUUUGAAUGACUAGCCUUGCUGCUUGCUGCUUGUCCAUUGAUCAGUGUUACUUUUUCAUAGAAUUCGCCAAGAGCAUUUGCUCUAGCCAGGUAAUGCACUAGGUACUGGGAAUCAAAAAACUUUUUUUUCACUUUCUAAUUAUUUUGUUAUAUUUUUCUGUUAUCUAUGCUUAUGGUGUUUCUACGGACU